GGGCGGCGCCGCCCCCCGAGCGCGGCGGGGGCAGGGCCGGCGGCGGGCCGGGAGCCCCGGAGCGCUGCUGCCCGGAGCGCUGCUGCCCGGGGGAGCGCUGCUGCCCGCCGGCCCCGCGGGACGGCCGCGCUCAAGUUUGCGCUGAGCAUCGCUGCGGUCCCCGCAGAGCCGCCCGGUCGGUGCGAGUCGCCCAGCAGCGCCCGGAGAAGGGAGAUGCGCGCUCCCGGCGCUGGGAACAGGUAAAGAUCACAACAUGUUGGCUGCCUAUAAUUUCUGAUAGCCAUACAAGAACUCCUGACUGGUUCCCUCCUGACAGCCAUGGCACGUUCACCAACUCAGCAUCAGUACUCAAACUUUUACCUGGAAAUGGUGAUGACAGAGGGAGGUAUUGGCUCCCUGUGAGUCUGGAAAAGGCUGGUGAACAUGUUGAUACAGAAGUCCCACAGAAAAUGGUUUGUCACCAAAGCCAAAGUGGGAUAUGUUCCUGUGAGUUGCAAGUAUCCAGAAACCUCAUGCACAGCAGCAUCCAGCCCAGGAGAGCAUGGGACAGAGUCCUCAGUAAAGGUGGUGACAUGGAGACAACAAAUCCAAGCUGCUGUAAAUGGACCCCUGGCUCUUUUUGACCCCAUUCAAGGCAGAACUGCACAUCUCUCUGCUCAUGUUCAGAGGAUGUUUCUUACUAACAUGUAAGAGAGAGGAAAAUGCUCAAGGAAGAGCCAAGCAGGAAUUCUGAGGUGCUUGGAGACCAAUGGCAUUGACAGCUUGGUGUGUUAGCAUCUCACUGCCAGAGCUUUGAAAUAUGCCUUCACUUAAGACACACACAGUCUUAUGUAUUUAGUGCAUUUCUGGCAAUAGAGUGAAAGCUGAUGUGCUAAAAAUGCGUGACUCACGCAGGCUGUUAGAUUUCAUUUCCUCCUGAGGAAAGACAACUGCUCUUGUCUUUGUCUUAGGGCCAACAUUUUGGGUAAUCUACCUUUGACACUUACAGCCCUAAGCCAGUUGGGAUUUAUCUCUGGGUCAAUUCCCAGUCCCUCUUAACAGAAUAAAUGCAAAAAGCUGAUGCAAUUCCUCAAAAGCGUGAGGUGGCUGUACAAUGGGUGUGGGCUGCCUCAGCAAGGCAGUAAUUAAUUGUCUAAUUAGCUGUUCUGAAUCACUACCACUGUGCACACAGGGAUCCACAGGUGAGCUGUGACAACAAAACAUCUUUUUGGCAAGCCUGUUAUGAUCUGUCAUAGCUCAGCACAAGAGUUGAGACAGCCCCACCUCUGAGAUAUCCAAUGUACUUUACAGGAACGAGCUCUAUACUACAGGAGACAGGAACCCAAGGGGCUUUUUUCAUAUUUUUGUUGACCUAUUGUUGCCAGGGUCAGAGUUAUUUCAAAUUACACUGCACUCUACCACCAGGAAUUUUCUUACAGACUUCUUUCUUCAUUCAGUACAUUCAUUCAGAGGAGC
Molecule: long non-coding RNA, 1455 nt
Filed under: Taeniopygia guttata (zebra finch)
Lineage: Eukaryota; Metazoa; Chordata; Aves; Passeriformes; Estrildidae
Description: lncRNA (ENSTGUG00000029372.1)
Source: RNAcentral